UAGAAAUUUCCCGGUAGAAUUCUAAUAUUCUAAUUUAUUGUCUGUUCGUAAUAGGUUAGUGGUUUGUUCUUAUAGUCAAGUUGUACCCUAGACGUAUAAUAUAAUAUAUUGUUAUGUAAUAUUUAUAAUUUAAUAUUAUUAUAUGUCUAAUGGCCUACUACAUUGUCAUAAUUGUAUAAAUUGUCAUUACUCAUUCACUAUCCAACGUAUUAUUUUAUUUCGUUUGUUUUUUGUGUUUGCUUCGCUUCCCGUUCAGGUAUAAAAAUGCAUAACUCUCAAGAAUCUAUAUACCUAAACAUGAACCAUCCAGAAGAAUCUCCCAAGAACCAGUCUAAUCCAACGGUUCGUCCAGUCAAUCCAUUUGAUCCACAUCGUGAUGCUUGAAUAUUGCAUAGGGCUAUGGGUUGGACAGUAGAGUACAGAAGUCAGAUAGUAGAAGUCUUGGCCAAUAGAGUUUAUUCUCAAAGACAAGAAAUUGCAAUUCAAUUCAAGACAUGAUUUAAUAUCCGAAUUGAAAAAUGAAUUUGGUGGAAAUAUGAUAAAACUAGUUGUAGGACUCAUGACACCUACUUGUGAAUUUCUUGCUAAAGAAAUUCAUGAUACUCUAAUUAAUGAUAUUCACACUGAUGAAAAAACAAUAAUUGAAAUCUAAUGCUGAGU
Molecule: long non-coding RNA, 660 nt
Organism: Acyrthosiphon pisum (pea aphid)
Lineage: Eukaryota; Metazoa; Arthropoda; Insecta; Hemiptera; Aphididae
Exons: 3
Source: RefSeq, a predicted model, not a curated record